UGGAAGCGGCGGGAGCCGGCUCCCGGAGGGCAGUGGAGUGAUUCGGACGGUUCCAUUCCAAGCGGAGGGGCUGUGUGUUCGGAGAGUCCGGGCUGUUUCUGCUGAGGGGAGAGGCGGGAAGGGCAGUGUGUAUGGAGCUGUGGGGCCGGAGCGGUGCGGAAGGCGGUUGAGCCCAGCGGGCCGCGGGAUCCCGAGGGGAGCCGUGUUGGAGAUGCCCCCGGGUCCCGCUGACAUGUAUACAUCUGAGAAACCGCCUCCAACAACAUACUUUGCUUCAAGACCUCUCCUGGAUUAUACGCAAAGAAGUUUCCAGUCAUGAGUUCACAAAUGCACAUGCCAGCUCAGAUGAGCACCCAGCAGUGGGAUGUGAGUAGAUACAUGGAAGCCUUCGCUCGUGAUACUGGCCCAUGCUGGUGUAAAAUGCGGGCUUGCUACUUCAAGAAUAUGAAGGCUUCUAUCUGAUGGUGAUGCAAACACAAGCAAGUAAUGAUACAGUUGGAUCGCUGGACAGCUGGACACACAGUGACUCACUCAUCUAGAGGAUUUUUCACUAAAACACUCUUUCUGUGGCUGGCAUUCACUGUCUCUCACUUUGAAUAAUAAUAACUUUCAUGGGAUACAUGUACAUUAUGGCUUUUCUAUUGCAUUUCUUAUCCUGACAAUUCAUUGCCCUUUUAGUUUGUUUUAAA
Molecule: long non-coding RNA, 689 nt
Organism: Pezoporus occidentalis (night parrot)
Lineage: Eukaryota; Metazoa; Chordata; Aves; Psittaciformes; Psittacidae
Exons: 3
Source: RefSeq, a predicted model, not a curated record